RNAcentral lists this ribosomal RNA (253 nucleotides) under uncultured bacterium. RNAcentral's name for it is "partial 16S ribosomal RNA". It matches the Rfam family "Bacterial small subunit ribosomal RNA", at positions 524 to 776 of the family's 1533-position model. The record is from RNAcentral.
UACGAAGGGGGCUAGCGUUGCUCGGAAUUACUGGGCGUAAAGGGCGCGUAGGCGGAUAGUUUAGUCAGAGGUGAAAGCCCAGGGCUCAACCUUGGAAUUGCCUUUGAUACUGGCUGUCUUGAGUACGGGAGAGGUGAGUGGAACUCCGAGUGUAGAGGUGAAAUUCGUAGAUAUUCGGAAGAACACCAGUGGCGAAGGCGACUCCCUGGCCCGCUACUGACGCUGAGGCGCGAAAGCGUGGGGAGCAAACAGG